AUAGCGACUAUCGUGGCAUAUCAAUAAGCGGAGGAAAAGAAACUAACAAGGAUUCCCUUAGUAAUGGCGAGUGAAGCGGGAAGAGCUCAAAUUUGAAAUCUUCAAGGUUUUACCUUGACGAAUUGUAGUUUAAAGAAGUGUUUUCUGUUGAAGUUUUGGUAAAAGUUCUUUGGAAUAGGACAUCAUAGAGGGUGAGAAUCCCGUAUUUGACCAUUAUUUUCAGCUGUGUGAUACACUUUCAAAGAGUCGGAUUGUUUGGGAAUGCAGUCCAAAAUGGGUGGUAAAUUUCAUCUAAAGCUAAAUAUUGGCGAGAGACCGAUAGCGAACAAGUACCGUGAGGGAAAGAUGAAAAGAACUUUGAAAAGAGAGUUAAACAGUACGUGAAAUUGUCAAAAGGGAAGCGUUUGACACCAGUGUUGUUUAGUUGAAAAUCAAUUCAAUAGUUUUUGAUUCUAAGUAGUUAUGACUUCAUCAGCUUGCUGCUUUCUUUACAGAAACUUUCUUGAAUGCACUUUUCAGUUAACAAGUCAACAUCAAUUUCUUUUGUUGUAAAAGGGUAUGAGGAAGGUGGCUUGCGCUUUCGGAUAAAGUGUUUAUAGCCUUGUGCUCUCUGCAAUCGGAGAGAUUGAGGUCUGCAGCGUAGAUCCUUCGGGGUUAGAUACAUUGGUGCUAAGUUAUAGCUUUUCAUAGACAACUUGUUGACUAUGUUCAGUCAUUGUAGCUUACUCGCUUACGCUAUUUUACCUACGCUUAGGAUGUUGACGCGCGUGUGUGCGUG
Molecule: ribosomal RNA, 778 nt
Filed under: uncultured Neocallimastigales
Lineage: Eukaryota; Fungi; Neocallimastigomycota; Neocallimastigomycetes; Neocallimastigales
Description: partial large subunit ribosomal RNA
Rfam family: Eukaryotic large subunit ribosomal RNA
Source: RNAcentral